Long non-coding RNA from Pygocentrus nattereri (red-bellied piranha), 663 nucleotides. RefSeq lists it as uncharacterized. The transcript has 4 exons. The record is from RefSeq and is a predicted model, not a curated record. NCBI's taxonomy places the organism in Eukaryota, Metazoa, Chordata, Actinopteri, Characiformes, Serrasalmidae.
UCACGACAGACGUCCAGACACAUAGUGUUACAGCCCCACACCGCACAUUUCAGAAAACAGAUGAGAAGACUUUACCUAAACGAGAUGGCGACAGAGCCCCCUACUCCUUCUGAGAAAAAGAAACAGAGCUUGGAGGUGUAGCCACUGUGGAGAAACAAAGCAACCAUGAGAUCCUUGAAGACAAGAUUUCAAAGCUCAAAGAUGAAGAUUAAAGCUGCAGUCAGGUCUCCAAGAGGAUGUGGAAGGGCGAACAGGGGAUUGAGCAGCACCAAAAAGAAGUCUCAUUGGAGACUUAACACCAUCAACAUUAAUACCUCCUAAAAUGGGAACACAAAAACAUUACAUAAAUUGCACUAGUGGUAUAAUCUGUGUGGUAACAAAGCAUUCACUGUUAAUUAUCAGUAGUUAUUCUUUGUGCUACUACCCCAGUAAGAAUGGACUUUUACGCCAUCCAAGGCCCACUCAGGGUUAUUCCUGCUCACCUUUACCCUCAGAGAUGAGGAGCUGUGAGGAGGACAGGGCUCUGUCCAAAUUUCGAGACCGUGGUUGUGAGCUUGAGUAGAAAACACUAGAAUGCCUCCUGGCAAGGUUUUUUAUUCUAGGACUUCUUCUCAAAUCUGCCAAAAGGAUAUAAAGAUUUUUUUUACAAAGAAAGCGAAGAUA